This is a long non-coding RNA of Saccostrea cuccullata (small rock oyster), 1091 nucleotides long. RefSeq lists it as uncharacterized. NCBI's taxonomy places the organism in Eukaryota, Metazoa, Mollusca, Bivalvia, Ostreida, Ostreidae. The record is from RefSeq and is a predicted model, not a curated record. The transcript has 4 exons.
CAGUUAAAUGUUGUUUUCCAUUCGCCUGAAAUCAUCACUUUUCAUGAAAAUUGACCGAGAGUUAUUUCCCUUUGCUGACUCUUUUGCACUGAAGACAAAAAAUGGUUGACUCUCCUGUCAAAAGAAGUUUUUAACAACAUGUGGAGUGUGAGUGGCAAAACAGACACCAGGAAAAUAAACAAUGAGAAAAUAAUGUUUAAGUUGUGAGUGACAAAGUAAGUCAUCAAUCAAUUAAUGAAAAUGAAAGAGACAGGUCUUGUGAAAUAUUGGAACAAAAUUUAUGAAGUCUGACUAGAGGGAUUCCAUCUAUUCUAAAAACCCAUACGUAUAGAUUAUGAUGCAAAUGGGGAAGAAAACAUUAAAAAGCAGUGGAUACGGCCACCCGGAAAUCAGUAGGAAUGAAUCUACCCUAGGCACAGAUGUACCAAUACAGUUCGAACUAUGAAAAUAAAGAUGAAAAGAUACAUUGAGAAUUCAUUUUCAGUAAAAAGCAGAACUGUGACACAGGAGCAUCACCUGUGAAAGGUUACAUAUGUUACAAAUGACACCAAUGAAGGAUAUAUGAGCAACUGUUUUAUACCAGAAACAGGAGGCAGUUACAAAAUUAAUAAACGAAGACAGAAAACUUGCAAGUGAUCCUGAGAACUGAACACCAGACAGUAUCGUUACCAAACAGUAUUCUUUUGGAGGGAAUUCUGUUUAAAGAAAUUGGAGAUCAGAAGUUUUGAAGUUUGUGAUGGUAAAUUCACUAAAUUGGAUAGGUUGCUUUUAUCUUCCAUUGGUUAUACUUAAAAUAUUUUUGAGGUAUUUUUUUUCAAGGUGUAAAUACUAACAAUUGGUUUAGAAUUAAAUACAUGAUAGUGAAAAAUAUAUCAAAUUUGUUUUCACAUAAAAAAAUGUUGUAGAUAAAUAAUGAAUUUAAAUUAAGGUAUAGAUGUAUGUUUUUUUUAUUCCAGGGAAAAAGUCGAAGAUGGUUAUUUCAAGUGUCACUUUUUAAACCCACUUUCUUCACUGGACAGCCAUAACACCACAUACAGCAAAACUCGUUUAGUACAAACACAGAUAUUGUGAAUUUACGGAUAAAGCGAAGU